This 25-nucleotide non-coding RNA is filed under the name Drosophila erecta. Lineage: Eukaryota; Metazoa; Arthropoda; Insecta; Diptera; Drosophilidae. RNAcentral also lists the same sequence under 4 other names. The record is from RNAcentral.
AUACUUACCUGGCAGGGGAGAUACC